GGGUGAGUAACGUGUGAGAAUCUGCCCUCAGGAGGGGGAUAACGGAAGGGGCUCUCCUAAUACCCCAUAUGCCGCGAGGUGAAAUGAAUUUCGCCUGAGGGAUGAGCUCGCGUCUGAUUAGGCUAGGUGUGUCUCUCUCUCAAGGCCUAUCACAGAGACAUCGAUCAGGUAGCUGGUCUGAGAGGAUGAUCAGCCAACACUGGGACUGAUGACACGGCCCAGACUCCUACGGGAGGCAAGCAGUGGGGG
Molecule: ribosomal RNA, 249 nt
Filed under: uncultured bacterium
Lineage: Bacteria
Description: partial 16S ribosomal RNA
Rfam family: Bacterial small subunit ribosomal RNA
Source: RNAcentral